RNAcentral lists this ribosomal RNA (1224 nucleotides) under uncultured Piloderma. RNAcentral describes it as "eukaryotic LSU rRNA". The stretch from base 597 to 1224 matches the Rfam family "Eukaryotic large subunit ribosomal RNA", at positions 1 to 628 of the family's 3401-position model. The record is from RNAcentral. Lineage: Eukaryota; Fungi; Basidiomycota; Agaricomycetes; Atheliales; Atheliaceae.
ACCAGGNUUNCGGUGGGUGACCUNGNGGAGGGUNCUUUUUGAAANUAUUGGGGGGGGUUGGUAGUGGCCUUCCGGGGCNAGUNCCCNCCUGAANCCUUUAUUCCCCCCCCCCCNNGUGACCUUAUGNAAGGGNCCGNNAAAAAGGCCNUUNNNUUUUUUUUCCCUUCCAGNAAAUUUCCAUUGAAAGNAAAAGUAAAGUUCUUNCCUUAAAAAANGGGUGGUNAAAAAAAAAGUUAUACAACUUUCAACAACGGAUCUCUUGGCUCUCGCAUCGAUGAAGAACGCAGCGAAAUGCGAUAAGUAAUGUGAAUUGCAGAUUUUCAGUGAAUCAUCGAAUCUUUGAACGCACCUUGCGCUCCUUGGUAUUCCGAGGAGCAUGCCUGUUUGAGUGUCAUUAAAUUCUCAAACUCUGAUUGAUUUUGUUUCGGUCAGAGCUUUGGAUUUGGAGCGUGCUGGCGUCAGUCGGCUCCUCUUGAAUGCAUCAGCGGAAUCCCAUUCAUUUCGGACGUCAGUGUGAUAAUCAUGUUGCGCUGUCUCUUGCCGAUCUUGAAAGCCCGCUCACAAUGGUCUUCGGACAAAACCUCACAUAUCAAAUUUGACCUCAAAUCAGGUAGGACUACCCGCUGAACUUAAGCAUAUCAAUAAGCGGAGGAAAAGAAACUAACAAGGAUUCCCCUAGUAACUGCGAGUGAAGCGGGAAAAGCUCAAAUUUAAAAUCUGGCGGUCUCGCGGCCGUCCGAGUUGUAAUCUGGAGAAGCGUCUAUCCGCGUCGGACCGUGUACAAGUCUUCUGGAAGGGAGCGUCGUAGAGGGUGAGAAUCCCGUCUUUGACACGGACAACCGAUGCUUUUGUGAUGCGCUCUNGAAGAGUCGAGUUGUUUGGGAAUGCAGCUCAAAAUGGGUGGUAAAUUCCAUCUAAAGCUAAAUAUUGGCGAGAGACCGAUAGCGAACAAGUACCGUGAGGGAAAGAUGAAAAGCACUUUGGAAAGAGAGUUAAACAGUACGUGAAAUUGUUGAAAGGGAAACGUUUGAAGUCAGUCGCGUCGGCCGAGACUCAACCUUGCGCUCGCGCUCGGUGCACUUGUCGGUUGACGGGUCAGCAUCAAUUUCGACCGCCGGACAAAGGUUGGGGGAAUGUGGCAUCCUUCGGGAUGUGUUAUAGCCCUUGAUUCACAUACGGCGAUUGGGAUUGAGGAACUCGGCGCCUCGCGCGUCCAGGAUGCGC